UAACCGUAUAGGGGAGCCGAAGGGAAACCGAGUCUUAACCGGGCGUUAAGUUGCAGGGUAUAGACCCGAAACCCGGUGAUCUAGCCAUGGGCAGGUUGAAGGUUGGGUAACACUAACUGGAGGACCGAACCGACUAAUGUUGAAAAAUUAGCGGAUGACCUGUGGCUGGGGGUGAAAGGCCAAUCAAACCGGGAGAUAGCUGGUUCUCCCCGAAAGCUAUUUAGGUAGCGCCUCGUGAAUUCAUCUCCGGGGGUAGAGCACUGUUUCGGCUAGGGGGCCAUCCCGGCUUACCAACCCGAUGCAAACUGCGAAUACCGGAGAAUGUUAUCACGGGAGACACACGGCGGGUGCUAACGUCCGUCGUGAAGAGGGAAACAACCCAGACCGCCAGCUAAGGUCCCAAAGUCAUGGUUAAGUGGGAAACGAUGUGGGAAGGCCCAGACAGCCAGGAUGUUGGCUUAGAAGCAGCCAUCAUUUAAAGAAAGCGUAAUAGCUCACUGGUCGAGUCGGCCUGCGCG
Molecule: ribosomal RNA, 518 nt
Filed under: Salmonella enterica
Lineage: Bacteria; Pseudomonadati; Pseudomonadota; Gammaproteobacteria; Enterobacterales; Enterobacteriaceae
Description: partial 23S ribosomal RNA
Rfam family: Bacterial large subunit ribosomal RNA
Source: RNAcentral